Long non-coding RNA from Myiozetetes cayanensis, 1581 nucleotides. RefSeq lists it as uncharacterized. The transcript is spliced from 4 exons. Lineage: Eukaryota; Metazoa; Chordata; Aves; Passeriformes; Tyrannidae. The record is from RefSeq and is a predicted model, not a curated record.
CGGCGGACGGGGCAGGGCAGAGCAGAGGCUGCCCUCUCGGCUGGGGAAAUCCUUUCCGGAUCCUAGUGAAGACUUGUACAGAGAAAAUUCACUGUAUAAACAUCCUGCCAAGAAAGGAAGGUUCACCCUUACUCCAUCUACAGGAUCUCUUUCUCCAGUAGUGACUGCUCAGGGUCCUUCCCAGGACAGAACAAUUGAGGAUGGACUUUUGGUGGGUAGUAUGACUGGCAGAGAGGACGUGAAGUCAGUGCCCCAGAGCUCAAGUGUAUCCUGUUCGCAACUUGUAUCAGGAGUGAUCCUUCCAGCCCCUGGAAGAUUUUGUGUCCUCCAGGAAUGUGAAGAAGUGGGGAGUCCAAGAGGGACACUUGAAAGAUUUCUCCAGCAAGAAAAGAUGGGAAAAUGGCAGCUGAACAAAACAUCUUCUUUUAACAAAGCAGCAAAGCAGUAGUAUAGGACCAGAGAUGGAAGUCCUUCUGCUGUAAAUCCACAUCAAUUCAACUAAGACCAAGCACUUGUGAAUAUUAAAUUCACAAUAGUGUGGAGGAGAGUAGAAAUGGCCUUUCUUUUUGAAACUCUUGGAGUCCGAAGUGAAAAAAAGUAGCAGGGUUUAACCUUUAAACUUUUCACUGACCUUUAAACAGUACUUUGGAUUAUAUGUGCCCUUGUUAAUCUGAAGCCACUUGCAAACAUAACUGGCAUUCCUUUUUUUAAGUAUACCUUACAUGCACUAUUGAAUGGGUUAAGCAUUUCAAAAGUUUGGCUCUUGUUCAUUAUGUCUUUAUCACCUUUUUAAGUGGUGUUUAUCCUUGUCAACAAAAUUUUAUAGUUAGCAGCAACACAAGCAAUGAUUUGUGUCGAAGUACAUUACUUAGGCGGUGGCCAGAUGUAGAUCUAAAUUCUUUGAGGUGCAAACCCAGGUGUUGAUCAAGGCACUAAAUUUUGCAGAAUUCCUGUAUUAAUGUAGAGCUCUAUGAGUACCAGAUAUUUUAAUAUCACUUUCCAUCACAGAUGAGUAGAAAAUCUUCCACUAGCAUCUAAUCAGACCAUUAUUUUUUUCCUCUUCAGCUUUUCUUUCUUUCACACUAUUCACGUCACUGCUUUGCAUGUACUUUUCCCGCACAUACCCUCCCCAUACAUAUCUUCACUUUGGCCUAUUAAGUCCAAACUACAGGUACAAAUUAUAGAAUAUCAACAAAAAAAUUAUCUUGGACAAAAUUUCAUUGUUCUCAUACUCUAGGGAGUUUAAUUAACACUAGAAACUUCUACUGCUUGGUAUAAAUAAAAGAGUCUAAAAUAGGUGAUUGUAAUUUCCCCUUUUCACUCACACAAUUAUUGAAAAAUGUCUUGCCAUUCUCAUGGAAAUUUGUAUUCUAAGUACAUCUGUCUUUAGCAGAAAAGUGUCAUGGGCAGAGCACAAAUUUAUGAGAGGAUGUAUAUGUAUAAGAACUAACUGCUAUACCAUACUCUAUGUCCAUCAUUUGGAUCAAGAAUUUUCCUACUGGAAUGCUACCGUAACAGACACACUCAUGUACUGUCCCUUACAUUCAAGCUACUCUUCAAACACAUAAAUACUGGGCUUAG